Long non-coding RNA from Enhydra lutris kenyoni (northern sea otter), 3062 nucleotides. RefSeq lists it as uncharacterized. Lineage: Eukaryota; Metazoa; Chordata; Mammalia; Carnivora; Mustelidae. The record is from RefSeq and is a predicted model, not a curated record. The transcript has 3 exons.
CACGCACCCAACCGCAGCUAUUUUAUUUUCCUUUUAAUUUUUCUGAAGGAUAUACACCACAUAUCCCAUGGGCAAUAAAGCGCAUUCAAUGUGUUUAUAAGCCAGUCACUUUGUUUAAGCAAACACAAGUACAAAGUAAAAUAAAACCACAAAAUAAUGAACUGCAUGUUCAUAACAUACAAAAAUCGCCGCCUACUCAGUAGGUAACUACAACAUUCCAACUCCUGAAUAUAUUUAUAAAUUUACAUCUUCAGUUAAAAAAAUAGACUUUUGAGAGUUCAGAUUUUGUUUUAGAUUUUGUUUUCUUACAUUCUGGAGGACCGAGGCUUAGCUCAGCCCUCUUCCUUAUUUUGCUCCCAAAGCCUCCCCCGAAUCAUCACUCCCUGCCCCCCUUAAGGCUAGAGGUAAGCACAUCCCUCACAAUUGCACAUGUCAGGCUGUCAGCAAGGCGCAUCACACAAAAGGCACCAAGACGUGAAACUUUUUAAACCAAAAGGACGAAAAGGAAGGAACACUUUCAAAAAAAGGAAGAAAAACCAAACCAUAUUUUGUCACAUGUGAGAGUACAGUCGGGCAAUAUUUACAAAAAGCUUCAAACUUAAUCGUCACAGCAUCAUCACAAAAUAAAGGAUCACCGUUGGUUUGCUUGGCUUUUCUUCCCCCCCGCCCCCCAAAGUGAGGACCUAACUCCAAAUAAUACAAUAGAAUAUGCAAAUUAUCUUCACAUCAAGAGUACCCCAAGAAAAACAAAAUCCAUGGCACAGACACUGUACAAGGAUGCGGGGCUGGGCUCUGAGAGGCCCAAACCCCAUUUUUGCCAACUUGAUUUUCUAGCAUUGAAGGGAGCAGGGGGUCAGGCAUACGAUGGAGAUGAUACUGAAAUGAUAUAUCCAAAAUCCAUGCAAAUCAAGUUCUUUGGAUAGAGGUGAAGAACUUGGACAUGGCUGUUUCAGGCAGCUGAAGUCAAAGGGCGUAGGAACUGGGGAGGAAGGACAAGUGGGCAGAAAGGACUGCAGGCCAACAGACCUUCCACGCCAACCUUGGGGUGGAAUAGAGGGGGAGGAUUUGGCUCUGAGAACCUCCAUUUCACUUAAGAGGAACCCCUUCCUGUGGCCAUCUCCUCCUCCUGGCCGUUAAGGUUAAGUCUCUUGUGUUUCUUUUUCUCCCCUUUCCCUUCUUUCCCCUUUCCCUUUAGCAAAUUUCAAUUGUCCUGGGAGAAAAGGUUGUCGUCAUGUCCGAAAGCCCUGUGGAGGCGCUGAAGGAGUUGGUGACAGCUGAGGAAGGGAAGCUGCUGACUUGGGCCGGGAAAGCAGGGGGAACAGAGGAGUAUGUGGUGGCCACUGAGGGUGAGGGGAAGCCGCUGUGCACAGGGGAUGGGUAGGUUGAUGACCCGGGAGAGGAGUAGGAGGUGGGCACAGGGGAUGGAUAUGAGGUGGUGGCUGGGGAUGGGUAAGAGGUAGUAACUGGGGUCGUGUAGGAGGUAGCCACCUGGGAGGGGUAGGAAGAGAGGGAGGUGGCGGCAGAAGAGGCCACAACACCUUUGUCUGCUUUUUUGUCCUUCUGCCUUAAGUGGAUCUUGGUAUGCCUCUUGCGUUCAUCGCUCCUGGCAAACUUUCUCCCACAGAUGUCGCAGGCGAAGGGCUUCUCGCCUGUGUGGGUGCGGAUGUGGGUGGUGAGAUGGUCACUGCGGCUAAAGUUGCGCAUGCAGAUGCGACACUGGAAGGGCUUCUGGCCGGUAUGGAUGCGAAUGUGGCGGGUGAGCUCAUCAGAGCGGGAGAAACGGCGGUCACAGGACUCCACCGGGCACGCAUACGGGCGUUCAUGAGGGGGCGUCUUGCUGGGCCGGUUGGGGUACUUGCGCAUGCGGCUGGGUUUGAUGAGCUGGGACUGGUAGGUGGUGUUGAGGGCCUUCAAGUCCUGGGAGCCCGACUGUGUGGCAAAGGCCUUGAUGGUAGACAGUGGAGUGAGUGAAGGCUGCUGGGUACGGCUCUCCAGGCCCUGGAAGGGCUUCUGGUCUGGGGUGCCCAGGCCCAGGUCCCCCUGCUGUUGUGGAAACAGAUAGUCAGGGAUCAUGGGGACUUGGAAGCCACCCUUGGCAGCAGGGUAGGCAGGAGGCGGGUACUGGAGCGAAGUGCCCGCAGAGCCGGGAAAGGCCUGGCUUUGUGGCCGGUGGGUUGGUCAUGCUCACGAGGCCGCUGACCAGGCUGAAGAGGGGCUCAGGCCACAAGGUGUUGCCACUGUUGGGUGCAGGCUCCAGAGAGAAGCGGCCAGUAUAGGUGAUGGGGGGCAGCCGGGUGGUUUGGCUGGGGUAACUUGUCUCCACCAGAACCUUCUCGUUAUUCAGAGAGAUAUCAGGAAAAGACUCUGGCAGGAAAGAGAGAAGGGGGAGGCCUGGUUACUGGAGAGCAAUCACUGGAGGACGAGAAGGACCAGAGCUGCCAGGCAAGAGGUUGGGCUGGCUACCAUUGACUCCUGAGCUGGUUAAUAAUUGAUAGCAGCAGAUUGCAAUGUUCCUGGACCCGCUCCAGCGGCAGAGCCCAUUUCAACAACAGCUGACGCAAAUACGGAGAAUCCCCCUCCACUGCAGCUCCCAGCUCUCUGCAGCGGCGGCUGCGCCACGGAAGGAUUCCCGCCAGCACCCCUUUCACCGCGGCUAGUGCGCGCCCCCUACCCCCAGCUGCCUGGACAUCCCUGGGCAUGGAUCGCGGCCCUUCCUUGGGGACAGGCGGCUGGCAAAGCAAGCCUGUCUGGAGAAAGGGGGGCGCAGCUCUGCUUUUCAAAACAAGCCCUCCCCCCUCUCCACCCACCCACGCAGCCCGAGCUCUCCAUCCAAAACAGAAGCUAGCUCCUCUGCGCACCGCUAGGGACCAGGCGGGUGAGGGUGAGGGUGGAUGUCCCUAGGCAUCCCUCUAACACAUGACCCUGAGGAAGGGAAGGGAAAUCCCACUUGCAUCCCUGAGGUCCAGAACACUGCUGCUGCGGUGAAGAGGGCGCUGCAAGGCGGUGGGGAAGGACUGCUCGCCAGGAUGGUGGCGAAGGGGCUAAUCCUCGGCGUAGGCCAC